UACGUAGGGUGCAAGCGUUGUCCGGAAUUAUUGGGCGUAAAGAGCUCGUAGGCGGUCUGUCGCGUCUGCUGUGAAAACUCAGGGCUUAACCCUUGAAUGCCGGUGGAUACUGUCGGGCUAGAGUCCGGAAGAGGCGAGUGGAAUUCCUGGUGUAGCGGUGAAAUGCGCAGAUAUCAGGAGGAACACCGAUGGCGAAGGCAGCUCGCUGGGACGGUACUGACGCUGAGACGCGAAAGCGUGGGGAGCGAACAGG
RNAcentral lists this ribosomal RNA (253 nucleotides) under uncultured bacterium. RNAcentral's name for it is "partial 16S ribosomal RNA". It matches the Rfam family "Bacterial small subunit ribosomal RNA", at positions 524 to 776 of the family's 1533-position model. The record is from RNAcentral.